This is an RNA transcript of Triticum aestivum (bread wheat), 1580 nucleotides long. It is a transcript of the gene named secretory carrier-associated membrane protein 5, with no coding region annotated. Lineage: Eukaryota; Viridiplantae; Streptophyta; Magnoliopsida; Poales; Poaceae. The transcript is spliced from 10 exons. The record is from RefSeq and is a predicted model, not a curated record.
GAACGCUGGAUUUUCCUGAAUUCUGUGUGAAUUAGUUUCUUCUGCAAUUCAUGCAUUUGCCACAUUGAAGGGUAAAAGAAGGAAAAUAUGUGAAGCACGCCAGGCCUAGGGGCAAGAUUGGAAAGUAUUGACCGGUGCCAAGGUGCCAAGGUGCCAACGGCCACCAUUAACUGGAAAUAACCUUUGAUUGGUCAUGCACAACUUAGAAUAGAUUGUGGUCCAUCCCAAAGGCAAACAACGCAGGGAUUUAUUCAUGCCUUAGGGAUCUUCUCAAUGUCUCCUAGCACCUAUCCGCUCGAAGACGAGAAUGUCAAUCCUACCGCGAAUUGGAAAUUAUCAGCACCAGCUCCAGCAAAGAAAUCAUGGAUCCCAGCGGGCUUUGGAGGCAGUGGCAAGCAUGACGCCACCAUCGACAUCCCAUUAUAUGAUCCGAAGAAGCGGGAGCAAGAGCUCUUAUCAUGGGAGGAGGAUUUGAAGAGGAGGGAGCGGGAUAUCAUACAGAGGGAGAAUGCAAUGAACAGAGCUGGUGUCACCAUCGAAGUGAAAAAUUGGCCACCAUUCUUCCCCGUCAUACAUCAUGACAUAGCCAAUGAAAUACCAACCCAUGCUCACCAGUUGCAAUAUUUAGCAUUUGCUAGUUGGCUAGGAAUUGUUGUAUGUCUCAGUUGGAAUGUAGUUGCUGUCUUAGUUGAAUCAAUUCACGGGGAAGGUGCUAAUAUUUUGCCUCACGAACAUUUUUUUUUCAGUGUGCAUCUUUUUCUUAUCCUUUUUAUGGCAGAUAUUGUUCUUUUUCUCCUUGCCAUCAUCUAUGCUGCAUUUGGAUGUCCUCUUUCAUACAUCCUAUGGUACAGGCCUCUGUACCAGGCCAUGAGAACUGAUAGCGUGGUGACAUUUGCCCAGUUUUUCGUCUUCUACUCGGUGCAUGUUGGGUUUUGUGUUAUUGCUGCAAUUGCUCUGCCGAUAAUAUUCAUGGGGAAAACUCUUACGGGAAUUCUUGUGGCUAUCGAGGUUUUAAACACGGAUAUGUUUGUCGGGGUACGUUCGUCUGCAUUACAUUAUUAUGGUUAACUAUGAACACAACUUCAGUGAUGUAACUUGCCGUGGGCCUUAAUUCUUGUCUGUUUUGGAGCAAUGCAGAGGGUAUGCGUGUAUUUUCGAGGGCACAGGUGAAGCCUAGCAAUGAGACUAUGAAAUCAUUCAAGGCAACUGUCUCCUCAACAGCAAGCAUUCUGAUGUAAAACACAAAGUUGACGGUGAAUGUGGGUGAACUGCCUCUGCUGAAUUCUUGCAUAUUCAGACAUACAGUGGAAAUUGAUUUAAUCUCAUAGUAGAAAUGUGAAUCAAGAUAACAAGUACUAUUUGAUUCAACAUCUCCGAAACAGAAUGGUGGUACCAGAUCCCAUGCCUCCAAAACUUGCAGCGUGUCUCCUGCCGAUGUGCGAAUGGUGAAGCGUGUUAGACAGUUCAGGCUUAUGCAGGUUCUCCGGUCAAAGAUGAAAGCAUUUAGGACCUCUUUUGUUUUUCAUUUGUAUCUGAUAAAUAUGUACUGUUUUCUAUAAAUAUUAAUAUCAGAUUUGUUU